GUUGGUGAACCAGCGGAGGGAUCAUUACCGAGUUAUCCAACUCCCAACCCCUGUGAAUUAUACCUUUAAUUGUUGCUUCGGCGGGACUUCGCGCCCGCCGGGGACCCAAACCUUCUGAAUUUUUUAAUAAGUAUCUUCUGAGUGGUUAAAAAAAAAUGAAUCAAAACUUUCAACAACGGAUCUCUUGGUUCUGGCAUCGAUGAAGAACGCAGCGAAAUGCGAUAAGUAAUGUGAAUUGCAGAAUUCAGUGAAUCAUCGAAUCUUUGAACGCACAUUGCGCCCGUCAGUAUUCUGGCGGGCAUGCCUGUUCGAGCGUCAUUACGCCCCUCAAGUCCCCUGCGGACUUGGUGUUGGGGAUCGGCGAGGCUGGUUUUCCAGCACAGCCGUCCCUUAAAUUAAUUGGCGGUCUCGCCGUGGCCCUCCUCUGCGCAGUAGUAAAGCACUCGCAACAGGAGCCCGGCGCGGUCCACUGCCGUAAAACCCCCCAACUUUUUAUAGUUGACCUCGAAUCAGGUAGGACU
RNAcentral lists this ribosomal RNA (521 nucleotides) under Metarhizium pingshaense. Its description in RNAcentral is "eukaryotic LSU rRNA". The stretch from base 165 to 318 matches the Rfam family "5.8S ribosomal RNA". Lineage: Eukaryota; Fungi; Ascomycota; Sordariomycetes; Hypocreales; Clavicipitaceae. The record is from RNAcentral.